Molecule: long non-coding RNA, 914 nt
Filed under: Homo sapiens (human)
Lineage: Eukaryota; Metazoa; Chordata; Mammalia; Primates; Hominidae
Description: HSALNT0261074
Source: RNAcentral
AGCAACCAAGCAGGGCCUACAAGCCGAGGAGGGCUGUUUAAAGGCGCAGGGGCCAUUUUACCUCCAGGUUGGCCCUGCUCAGGACCAGGAGGAAACACCUCCAGCCCGCGACCUCCUCCCACAGGGGGAAAAGGAAAGCAGGAGGACCACAGAAGCUUUGGCACCGAGGAUCCCCGCAGUCUUCACCCGCGGAGAUUCCGGCUGAAGGAGCUGUCCAGCGACUACACCGCUAAGCGCAGGGAGCCCAAGCCUCCGCACCGGAUUCCGGAGCACAAGCUCCACCGCGCAUGCGCACACGCCCCAGACCCAGGCUCAGGAGGACUGAGAAUUUUCUGACCGCAGUGCACCAUGGGAAGGUAAGUCCUCUUAGAGCUGACCACUAUGGGGAAGCAGAGCAUUUGUGUAAUGGAAUGCAUAGUGAGUGUCAAGAGGUGAGGGCUGUGACAGUUCCUCUCGCUUGGUGGAGAUAGAUGGAAAGAGCUGAAGGUUGGGCAUGGUGGCCCAUGCCUGUAACCCCAGCACUUUUGGUGGCCGAGGCAAGAAGAUCUCUUGAGCCCCAGAGUUCGAGACUAGCCUGGGCAACAUGGUGAAACCCUAUCUCUACAAUAAAAGAAAAUAUUUUUAAAAAUUAGCCAAGCAUAGUGGUACACACCUGUAGUCCAAGCUACUUAGGAGGCUGAGACAUGAGGAUCACUUGAGUCCCGGUGUUCAAGGCUGCAGUAAGCUAUGAUUGCACCACCGCACUGGUGGUGGGCAACAGAGCAAGACCCUGUCUUAUUGUUGAACCGGGGAGGUGGAGGUUGCAGUGAACUGAGAUUGCGCCACUGCACUCCAGCCUGGGCAACAGAGCGAGACUCUGUCUCAAAAAAGAGAGAGAGAAAGAGAAAGAAAGAAAGAAAGAAAGAAAGAAAGAA